This 85-nucleotide microRNA precursor is filed under the name Lutzomyia longipalpis. Its description in RNAcentral is "microRNA mir-315". Lineage: Eukaryota; Metazoa; Arthropoda; Insecta; Diptera; Psychodidae. The record is from RNAcentral.
GAUUAAUGUUGCUCGGAUCAGCAGUCGGAAAUAAAAAUGCACGAUGCAUUUUUAUUUCCGACUGCUGAUCCGAGCAACAUUAAUC